Long non-coding RNA from Choloepus didactylus (southern two-toed sloth), 693 nucleotides. RefSeq lists it as uncharacterized. Lineage: Eukaryota; Metazoa; Chordata; Mammalia; Pilosa; Megalonychidae. The transcript is spliced from 3 exons. The record is from RefSeq and is a predicted model, not a curated record.
CUGAGGACUUCCUUAUGGUGACCUGGUGAUCUGACAUGUGUUUUUCAGGAUGGAAAGGAAGAUGAGUCCGGCCCAGUUGGCAAAGGCCAGAUUAAUAGGAACCUUGCAUUUGAAAUGAGAUGCACUCAUUUUCCCAGCUCCUUCUGGCUAUUCUAACAAGAUAACUGGUGCCUUGAGUUCUAUCUUAAUAUUUACAACUUCACCUGCAUGUUGGAAUUGGAAGAGGCAGACAAGGAGGAGGAGGUAUUUCAAGAAAGAAGAGGCAGGCUGCAGCUCCACCCCCCAGUGAAGAACCCAGGGCCAUGGGAGAUGCUAGCACUGGAGAGAAGGAAGGAGAAAGAAGUCUGAAUUCAAAGUGAGAUUGACACGUUGAACUGUAUCAGACUGAACCAGGCUUUGUAAGACCUGAGUGGAUAUAUGGGUCUGAGAUUACCCACAAUAAUAUCAAGGGGUGUGGAAAGGAGCCUCAAAGGGAAGAGAGUGGGAAAAAAUAUUUUAUGCUUAUAUUUCAUCUAUAGCUAGUUCACGAUAGUGAUUAUGAGUUCAAGUCCAAUCAGUGUGACUUUGGGCAAAUAAUUUACCAUGUUUGAGGCAUCUAUAGAUGAGUUUGGAUGACACUUAAACAUGCACGCACACACACACACACACACACACACACACCACAUCUCAAGGAUGUGGAAGAACUUUCUAAGU